AACGAACGCUGGCGGCAUGCCUAACACAUGCAAGUCGAACGAAACCUUCGGGACUAUUGGCGCACGGGUUCGUAACGCGUGGGAACCUUCCCUUAGGUUCGGAAUAACUCUCCGAAAGGGGUGCUAAUACCGGAUCAUGUCUUCUGACCAAAGAUUUAUCGCCUUUGGAUGGGCCCGCGUUGGAUUAGCUAGUUGGUAGGGUAAAAGCCUACCAAGGCGACGAUCCAUAGCUGGUCUGAGAGGAUGAUCAGCCACACUGGGACUGAGACACGGCCCAGACUCCUACGGGAGGCAGCAGUGGGGGAUAGUGGAAAGUGGGCGAAAGCCUGAUCCAGCAAUGCCGCGUGAGUGAUGAAGGCCUUAGGGUUGUAAAGCGCAUUUAACCGGGAUGAUAAUGACAGUACCGGGAGAAUAAGCUCCGGCUAACUCCGUG
This 433-nucleotide ribosomal RNA is filed under the name uncultured bacterium. Its description in RNAcentral is "partial 16S ribosomal RNA". It matches the Rfam family "Bacterial small subunit ribosomal RNA", at positions 29 to 507 of the family's 1533-position model. The record is from RNAcentral.